CAAUCGGCCCUUUUCAGGGCCAACAAAACAUUCAAGCGUACAAAC
Non-coding RNA from Trichomalopsis sarcophagae, 45 nucleotides. The record is from Rfam. NCBI's taxonomy places the organism in Eukaryota, Metazoa, Arthropoda, Insecta, Hymenoptera, Pteromalidae.